UACAGAGGGUGCAAGCGUUGCUCGGAAUCAUUGGGCGUAAAGGGUAGGUAGGUGGUCUCAUUUGUCUGGGGUGAAAUCCUUGAGCUUAACUCAAGAAGUGCCCCAGAAACGGUGAGACUAGAGUUCUGGAGAGGGUCGUGGAAUUCCCGGUGUAGCGAUGAAAUGCGUAGAGAUCGGGAGGAACACCAGAGGCGAAGGCGGCGACCUGGACAGAUACUGACACUCAACUACGAAAGCGUGGGGAGCAAACAGG
This 253-nucleotide ribosomal RNA is filed under the name uncultured bacterium. RNAcentral describes it as "partial 16S ribosomal RNA". It matches the Rfam family "Bacterial small subunit ribosomal RNA", at positions 524 to 776 of the family's 1533-position model. The record is from RNAcentral.